UACCUAGUUGCAUGCUUCAUUGCACUUCUAUCUCUGGCAUUUGGAAUUUAUGGAACGAUAAUGAAUACAAUCUUCAUAAUUCGAUUGCUGAUGUUCGUGUUGAUUACAUUCUGCUUAUUCAAGAUAGUCAUGUGGAUAGUGUAUAAGAAUCUGUCGCCAAUGUCAGCAGAGGACGUCACCCACUUUA
Molecule: small RNA, 187 nt
Filed under: Drosophila melanogaster (fruit fly)
Lineage: Eukaryota; Metazoa; Arthropoda; Insecta; Diptera; Drosophilidae
Description: partial mlncRNA66A2-1
Source: RNAcentral